RNAcentral lists this ribosomal RNA (636 nucleotides) under Streptacidiphilus sp. RNAcentral describes it as "bacterial SSU rRNA". It matches the Rfam family "Bacterial small subunit ribosomal RNA", at positions 786 to 1421 of the family's 1533-position model. Lineage: Bacteria; Bacillati; Actinomycetota; Actinomycetes; Kitasatosporales; Streptomycetaceae. The record is from RNAcentral.
CUUGGUAGUCCACGCCGUAAACGUUGGGAACUAGGUGUGGGUCACAUUCCACGUGGUCCGCGCCGCAGCUAACGCAUUAAGUUCCCCGCCUGGGGAGUACGGCCGCAAGGCUAAAACUCAAAGGAAUUGACGGGGGCCCGCACAAGCAGCGGAGCAUGUGGCUUAAUUCGACGCAACGCGAAGAACCUUACCAAGGCUUGACAUAUACCGGAAACGGCCAGAGAUGGUCGCCCCCUUGUGGUCGGUAUACAGGUGGUGCAUGGUUGUCGUCAGCUCGUGUCGUGAGAUGUUGGGUUAAGUCCCGCAACGAGCGCAACCCUCGUUCUGUGUUGCCAGCGAGUAAUGUCGGGGACUCACAGGAGACUGCCGGGGUCAACUCGGAGGAAGGUGGGGACGACGUCAAAUCAUCAUGCCCCUUAUGUCUUGGGCUGCACACGUGCUACAAUGGCCGGUACAAUGAGCUGCGAUACCGCGAGGUGGAGCGAAUCUCAAAAAGCCGGUCUCAGUUCGGAUUGGGGUCUGCAACUCGACCCCAUGAAGUCGGAGUUGCUAGUAAUCGCAGAUCAGCAUUGAUGCGGUGAAUACGUUCCCGGGCCUUGUACACACCGCCUAAAAGGGACGAAAGUCGGUAACACC